This 445-nucleotide ribosomal RNA is filed under the name uncultured bacterium. RNAcentral's name for it is "partial 16S ribosomal RNA". It matches the Rfam family "Bacterial small subunit ribosomal RNA", at positions 354 to 796 of the family's 1533-position model. The record is from RNAcentral.
GUGAGGAAUAUUGGUCAAUGGGCGGGAGCCUGAACCAGCCAAGUCGCGUGAAGGAAGAAGGAUCUAUGGUUCGUAAACUUCUUUUGCAGGGGAAUAAAGUGCAGGACGUGUCCUGUUUUGUAUGUACCCUGAGAAUAAGGAUCGGCUAACUCCGUGCCAGCAGCCGCGGUAAUACGGAGGAUCCGAGCGUUAUCCGGAUUUAUUGGGUUUAAAGGGUGCGUAGGUGGUUUGAUAAGUCAGCGGUGAAAGUUUGCAGCUUAACUGUAAAAAUGCCGUUGAAACUGUCGGAGUGGAGUGUAAAUGAGGUAGGCGGAAUGCGUGGUGUAGCGGUGAAAUGCAUAGAUAUCACGCAGAACUCCGAUUGCGAAGGCAGCUUACUAAGCUACAACUGACACUGAAGCACGAAAGCGUGGGGAUCAAACAGGAUUAGAAACCCGAGUAGUCC